CCUAUUCAUAAUUCUUCAUAAUUGAAUACCAAUCUACCAAUAAAGUACAACCUCUCCCCUAAUCUCCUCCCCGGACAGCAGCACCUCACCCUCUCCCUUCCUCGCAGUCGUGCUCUUUCUCCGUCGUUCUUCACACUUCACGCAAUAGCAGCACGCACCAGCAACCGCCUUGUCGUUCUCCACGCAUCAACAGCCUUAUGUCGCCCUCCGUGCAGUGCAGCCAUCGUAUCGUCCUCCACGUAGCAGCAACCCCGUAUCGCUCUCCAGCGUCGUGCCUUCCUCCAUUCCUCCCUGCAGUUGCCACUCUCUGUGUAACAUGGUAGUUUCCAAAGGUUCGGUCCAGUGAACUUGUUCUGGAGUACACGCUAGACAAAAAAAAUGACAUUGUUUUUGGCAUGCCUCAAGGAUUUUGCAAAAUUUGCCAAGUCCAAAGAUCAAAAAGAUAAUAUCCCACCUGAGAAAUGUUUCAAACUUCCAUACAAAUUUACAGCUCUUCGAGUCUUUUUCGCAAAGAGGAAAGAACCAAACUAAGCCUGCUCUGUGUCCAUAAUAUCUUCUGGUGCAUAUCCAGGAUUGAUAAUGACAAAGUGAAAAACUAUUCCAUCACUCAAAGCUUCAAUAAGCAGGAAAACUGGACAAAAGCUCUCAAGUACACCCUUUGCAAUUUGAAAUGAGCUCUCUAUUAGUUUGUUGGGAACACCAACUUUCAACCUCUUUCAGCAAUCGUAUCUACACAUUCUGAAGUGCCUGCUAUAGGUUCUUUGUACCCAAAGCGACGCACUGAACCCAACAAGUCUUAAUCUUCAAACCUUGAACAUAUGCUAGCUAGGUUUUAGGCUUACAUCACACCCAAAUGUGUACAUAGAAAUAUUUAGUUUUUAGAAUAUCAUGGUGUGACAAGUAUUCAACAUUUGAUAUUGUAUGUGGAAAUCUAUUCAAUAGCUAUAGAAGUAUAGAACUUCUCUUCCUAUACCAAGUUCAAUGUUAAACAUAAACUGCUCUUCUUCUUUUAGGUACAUUAGCGUAAACUUUUAUCUAAAGGAAGACAAAUUUCUUUGGAAAUUCAGUGUACAUUAUUAUUAUUAUUAAAGUAUAAUACAUGUUAAGUUGUCACAAAAAAGGAUUCAUGUUAAUAGAAUUUAUUUUAUUUUUU
Arachis ipaensis is the source of this 1153-nucleotide non-coding RNA. The record is from RefSeq and is a predicted model, not a curated record. NCBI's taxonomy places the organism in Eukaryota, Viridiplantae, Streptophyta, Magnoliopsida, Fabales, Fabaceae.